GAUGAACGCUGGCGGCGUGCCUAAUACAUGCAAGUAGAACGCUGAAGCUUGGUGCUUGCACCGAGCGGAUGAGUUGCGAACGGGUGAGUAACGCGUAGGUAACCUGCCUCUUAGCGGGGGAUAACUAUUGGAAACGAUAGCUAAUACCGCAUAAAAGUCGAUAUCGCAUGAUAUUGAUUUGAAAGGUGCAAAUGCAUCACUAAGAGAUGGACCUGCGUUGUAUUAGCUAGUUGGUGAGGUAACGGCUCACCAAGGCGACGAUACAUAGCCGACCUGAGAGGGUGAGCGGCCACACUGGGACUGAGACACGGCCCAGACUCCUACGGGAGGCAGCAGUAGGGAAUCUUCGGCAAUGGGGGCAACCCUGACCGAGCAACGCCGCGUGAGUGAAGAAGGUUGUCGGAUCGUAAAGCUCGGUUGUAAGAGAAGAACGAGUGUGAGAGUGGAAAGUUCACACUGUGACGGUAACUUACCAGAAAGGGACGGCUAACUACGUG
This 497-nucleotide ribosomal RNA is filed under the name uncultured bacterium. RNAcentral's name for it is "partial 16S ribosomal RNA". It matches the Rfam family "Bacterial small subunit ribosomal RNA", at positions 28 to 507 of the family's 1533-position model. The record is from RNAcentral.